GAAAGAGUCUAGCUAGUCUGCUAAACUAGCACCCCAAGCCCAACCCCUUGGCUCUUC
This 57-nucleotide transfer RNA is filed under the name Hemidactylus karenorum. RNAcentral's name for it is "tRNA-Ser". The record is from RNAcentral. Lineage: Eukaryota; Metazoa; Chordata; Lepidosauria; Squamata; Gekkonidae.